This 166-nucleotide ribosomal RNA is filed under the name Aigialaceae sp. RNAcentral's name for it is "partial large subunit ribosomal RNA". It matches the Rfam family "Eukaryotic large subunit ribosomal RNA", at positions 99 to 260 of the family's 3401-position model. Lineage: Eukaryota; Fungi; Ascomycota; Dothideomycetes; Pleosporales; Aigialaceae. The record is from RNAcentral.
CGGCAACAGCUCAAAUUUGAAAUCUGGCCCUCGCCGAGGGCCCGAGUUGUAAUUUGCAGAGGGUGCUUUGGCGUUGGCAGCGGCCCAAGUUCCUUGGGACAGGACGUCGCAGAGGGUGAGAACCCCGUACAGGGCCUCCUGCCCCCGCCGUGUAAAGCCCCUUCGA